ACAGAGGGUGCGAGCGUUGUCCGGAAUCACUGGGCGUAAAGGGCGCGUAGGCGGCUGGGUAAGCGUGUGGUGAAAGCCCGGGGCUCAACCCCGGGUCGGCCAUGCGAACUGUCCAGCUGGAGCACGGUAGAGGCACAUGGAAUUCCGGGUGUAGCGGUGGAAUGCGUAGAGAUCCGGAAGAACACCGGUGGCGAAGGCGGUGUGCUGGGCCGUGGCUGACGCUGAGGCGCGACAGCGUGGGGAGCAAACAG
Molecule: ribosomal RNA, 251 nt
Filed under: uncultured prokaryote
Description: partial 16S ribosomal RNA
Rfam family: Bacterial small subunit ribosomal RNA
Source: RNAcentral